This 25-nucleotide ribosomal RNA is filed under the name Rinorea campoensis. RNAcentral's name for it is "partial 28S ribosomal RNA". The record is from RNAcentral. Lineage: Eukaryota; Viridiplantae; Streptophyta; Magnoliopsida; Malpighiales; Violaceae.
UGAGGCCCCAGGUCAGGCGGCAGUA